CAGAAUUUAAUUAUUUCCGCAAUUGAUCAACGUGUCAAACGUUUCAGCACAAUCAGCUUAUAUUAGAAUGGCAAUAACCGACCACGCGCUGUUUAGAACUUUGGCUAAAACGCUGUUGGGUUUCUUGAGUUGAUAUGUUAAAGCAAUAUUUGAAAGCCCAAAUCAAACCAAUGGAUUUGUUCGUAAAGGAUGCAAGUGUCAAUUAUGUGAUAAUCCUGGACUCCACCAUUGUUCUGAAUGUAAAAUCUUCAUGUGUGAAGAUUGUAAGACUUUGCAUAACAAAUUUCCUGGACAGAACCAGCAUACUGUGCUAUCCAUUGACGAACUCGACACUCCUGAAGGUCAGGCAAAAAUUAAGAGGAUAGGUUAUUGUCAAAAGCAUCCUGGGAAAGUUUGAGGUUUUACUGUGAAACAUGCAAGGAAUUGUGUUGCAAUGAUUGCCUGCUACUUUAUCACAUGUAACAGAAUCACUCCUGUAUAUCAGUGCAGGAGGUUGCCGCAACUCAGCUCGAUAAACUCAUUUCGAUUACUGCCAAAAUGGAGGGAAAUUUAACUGAAGGAAAGAAAGCUCUCGAUUGCGUUGCAGCAAGAUAACAUCUUAAAGGUUGUCUCAGACAAACUAGAGAAAAAGGCUGUUGAACUGUGUGAAGAGGUUUAUUUGAAGCACGAUAAGCUGCUUCAGGAGCUUAUAAAACAACAAGAACAAAUUCAACAAUAUGUCGAUAAUGUGUAAGACAACUGUAAAAGUGCCCAAAAGUUCGCUAGAACAGCCAUUGCCACUUCAAACAUUGAAUCAGAUGAUGAGUCAAUCAACGACAAGCCACGAAAACGUCCUCGUCUCAAAAGGAGUAUGGAAGAAUUUCCAGAUUACACUAACAUAGAAAACGAUGAUGACAGUGAUGAACCCGUAAUUCAACAAAGAGCCCCUCAGUUACCUCCUGCUCCACGUUACGCAUCUUUUAGUGCGAACAAUUUUCCGGUGUACCGCGAGCUGAUCUCCCUUGCAGAAAAAGAUUUAUAUGACGGUGAACUAGCACCAGAAAUCCUAAACACAAAGGAUCAUGCAAUAACUUCCACAUCUACUAGUAAGACACCAUCUCAGCGUAGUGGUAAGUUUUCUGUCAUCAGAACUGACUAAUCAACAACUUUCAUCUAAUAUGUCGACUGAAUUUUUGAA
Xenia sp. Carnegie-2017 is the source of this 1177-nucleotide long non-coding RNA. RefSeq lists it as uncharacterized. NCBI's taxonomy places the organism in Eukaryota, Metazoa, Cnidaria, Anthozoa, Malacalcyonacea, Xeniidae. The transcript is spliced from 7 exons. The record is from RefSeq and is a predicted model, not a curated record.